UACGGAGGGGGUUAGCGUUGUUCGGAAUUACUGGGCGUAAAGCGCGCGUAGGCGGGUUGUUAAGUUAGAGGUGAAAUCCCGGGGCUCAACCCCGGAACUGCCUUUAAUACUGGCAACCUAGAGCUCGAGAGAGGUGAGUGGAAUUCCGAGUGUAGAGGUGAAAUUCGUAGAUAUUCGGAGGAACACCAGUGGCGAAGGCGGCUCACUGGCUCGAUACUGACGCUGAGGUGACGAAAGUGUGGACGAGCAAACGGAUUAGACUACCCCGGUACGUCC
Molecule: ribosomal RNA, 276 nt
Filed under: uncultured bacterium
Lineage: Bacteria
Description: partial 16S ribosomal RNA
Rfam family: Bacterial small subunit ribosomal RNA
Source: RNAcentral